UAGGGUUUCUGUAUACAUUUUGAUAACC
This 28-nucleotide small RNA is filed under the name Bombyx mori (domestic silkworm). Its description in RNAcentral is "ovarian small RNA-22729". Lineage: Eukaryota; Metazoa; Arthropoda; Insecta; Lepidoptera; Bombycidae. The record is from RNAcentral.